This 411-nucleotide long non-coding RNA is filed under the name Monodelphis domestica (gray short-tailed opossum). RNAcentral's name for it is "lncRNA (ENSMODG00000043231.1)". The record is from RNAcentral. Lineage: Eukaryota; Metazoa; Chordata; Mammalia; Didelphimorphia; Didelphidae.
CCAUGAUGUCCUUGGUCCUCUGAAGACUAAGGGAAAACAACAACAAUAUGAUAUUGGGCAGAGACCUAGAGCUAGAAAGGACCUUAGAGGACAUCUCCUGCACCUCCAUUUUACAGAUCAAGAAACUGAGGCCCAUAGAAGUUUGCCUUUCCAUUGGGUCCACAGUGCUAGGCACACGAUGAAGAAACUGAGAGAUCUGACCUCAAGGCUCAUUAAUACUCCAUCAGCCUAAUCUAGUCAAUCAGCAGAGCAGAGAAGAAGCCCCUUCAGGACAGAAUAGCCCAAACCCACAGAUCCUGCAAAUAAUCAGAGGAGCAACAUUCCAGCCAAUGACAGGGGGCAAAGAAGGAAAAAAAUAUGAGUAAACAGCAGAAAAAGAAAAAAUAAAUUAUAAUUGACAGCUUCUAUCCA